This 500-nucleotide ribosomal RNA is filed under the name Hyperolius argus (argus reed frog). RNAcentral's name for it is "partial 12S ribosomal RNA". It matches the Rfam family "Bacterial small subunit ribosomal RNA", at positions 793 to 1522 of the family's 1533-position model. Lineage: Eukaryota; Metazoa; Chordata; Amphibia; Anura; Hyperoliidae. The record is from RNAcentral.
CGCUUAGCCGUAAAAUAUUAUUUACAUUAAAAACGCCAAAGCAACUACGAGCGCAAGCUUAAAACUUAAAGGACUUGACGGUGUCCCAUCUACCUAGAGGAGCCUGUUCUAUAAUCGAUAAUCCUCGUUAUAUCUCACCUUUUUUAGCUUAUCAGUCUGUAUACUNCCGUCGUAAGCUUACCAUAUGAAUGUAUUAGUAAGUUAAAUAGUAAUAACAAUUACCAAAACGUCAGGUCAAAGUGCAGCCAACAAAAAGGGAAGAAAUGGGCUACAAUUUCUACUUAAGAACAUACGAAUUUAAGUAACUGAAAACUACUAUGANGGCGGAUUUAGAAGUAAAAUGAAAAUAAAGUGUUCAUUUUAACAAUGCUCUGGGACGUGUACACACCGCCCGUCAUCCUCUUCAAUUCUAUUAAAAAUUUACAUAAAAAAUAAACCUGUAACACGAGGAGGCAAGUCGCAACACGGUAAGUAUACUGGAAAGUGUACUUGGACAUCAA